GCCAUGAUAGUAUAAAUAUUACUUUGGUCUUGUAAACCAAAAAUGAGGAACUAAUCCUCUCAAGGCA
This 67-nucleotide transfer RNA is filed under the name Aethomys kaiseri (Kaiser's rock rat). RNAcentral describes it as "tRNA-Thr". It matches the Rfam family "tRNA". From Rfam's summary of the family: Transfer RNA (tRNA) molecules are approximately 80 nucleotides in length. Lineage: Eukaryota; Metazoa; Chordata; Mammalia; Rodentia; Muridae. The record is from RNAcentral.